This 253-nucleotide ribosomal RNA is filed under the name uncultured bacterium. Its description in RNAcentral is "partial 16S ribosomal RNA". It matches the Rfam family "Bacterial small subunit ribosomal RNA", at positions 524 to 776 of the family's 1533-position model. The record is from RNAcentral.
CACGUAGGGCGCAAGCGUUGUCCGGAAUUAUUGGGCGUAAAGAGCUCGUAGGCGGUCUGUUGCGUCCGCUGUGAAAACCCGCGGCUUAACCGUGGGCUUGCGGUCGAUACGGGCGGGCUGGAGUUCGGUAGGGGAGACUGGAAUUCCUGGUGUAGCGGUGAAAUGCGCAGAUAUCAGGAGGAACACCGGUGGCGAAGGCGGGUCUCUGGGCCGAUACUGACGCUGAGGAGCGAAAGCGUGGGGAGCGAACAGG